GAGAACGAAACCAAUGCUGUAGAUGAUUUACAUAGCCGAUAAAGACAAGAAAUGCAAUUUUGUAAUGUUUCCCUUUGAUGUUUUCCCAUCCCAUACACAGGACGAGUGGUGUUUCGUUGGGCUCCAGCAGUGUUAGAACAAUUCAGGAUGCAGUUUCUCUGCCCCCUUUCAGCAACAGCUGCGCUGAGAAAAAUGGAGACAACUUGAUUUUAACAGAUGUCAAGGAUGGUUAGGACAAUAGCCAAGACAUUCGAUGGAGAUCAACUUCCAUACAAAUUUGCCUGCUCGUUGAGAUCUGUGUCCCAUCUCCUUCUGAGAUUUACUCUCCCCCUCCUGUGUGGUUUUGCACCAAUGAAGCAUCGUGUCCAAGUUGUGUUGGCUGAAACGUUUCUUUGCUGCAUUUUAAGGUGCUACUGACUCCUCUCGGCAAGCACCCCGGCCCCUUCCCAUGGAAACUCAGCCCGGAAAAGAAGCUACUCUUCCCCCAAUAUUCGAGGACAAGCAGGAUUUCUCCAGAACAAGGCAGGAUCAUCAGGUUUCAGAGAAGGGAAUUUUGCUGAAGCUAUUUUAAAACCCCCAAUGGCUUAUGCUUUUGCCUCCAUUGUUACCAAUGAUAAAUAAAUACAAGGGAGAGAAGAGAA
Molecule: long non-coding RNA, 641 nt
Organism: Hemicordylus capensis (graceful crag lizard)
Lineage: Eukaryota; Metazoa; Chordata; Lepidosauria; Squamata; Cordylidae
Exons: 4
Source: RefSeq, a predicted model, not a curated record